UUAGUUAAGUUCCUUAUGGACCUGGGAAGCUGAUAUUUUUCUUCAGAAUUCUUUUGUACAUGCUGAUAACUCACUUCACUGAAUAUUUUCAGAACUUUCAGGAUCAAGUCUAUUUUGCACCUUAUCCUGGUUUUCAGAAGUUUGAAUCUGCUUGGUAUUCUGGAAGAGUACAAGGUACCCUGAGCAAGCGUGUCAUCCAUUAAGCAUGUAUCCAUAAGAAAAUGAAGAAGAGGCAAAGGACCAAAGAAGAGCUAUUGGGGAAAUUGGUUAAAUGUACUGGAGUAUGU
This is a long non-coding RNA of Alligator sinensis (Chinese alligator), 287 nucleotides long. RefSeq lists it as uncharacterized. The transcript has 3 exons. The record is from RefSeq and is a predicted model, not a curated record. Lineage: Eukaryota; Metazoa; Chordata; Crocodylia; Alligatoridae.